Long non-coding RNA from Felis catus (domestic cat), 5377 nucleotides. RefSeq lists it as uncharacterized. The record is from RefSeq and is a predicted model, not a curated record. The transcript has 6 exons. NCBI's taxonomy places the organism in Eukaryota, Metazoa, Chordata, Mammalia, Carnivora, Felidae.
UAACAACGGACUGUGUCUCUGAGACCCUGUGUAUGGAUACACGUGUACUUAAAACAGCCCCGCCUGUGUGUAGAGCACUUGCUGUAUGUCAACGCUUUGCAGGAGCUAUUGCACUUAAGGCUCAGAACAACUUUAUGAGGCCUAUUUCUAACAGACUUGUUAUGUGUAUUCUUAUUCAAUUCUGGAUUGGAUUCAGAAAAUUGGACAGUGUUGCAGGUACUGAAUGACGUGUAGGCAUGCUGAUAUCCACAAAAGUAAGAACUGACUACACUUCAAGAAUGUUAAAGAAAGUCAUUCAGACAGAAAGGAAAUGAUACCGGAUGGAAAUACAGAUCUACACAGAGGAAUGAUGAGCACUGGAAAAGGUAACUACAUGGCCAAAUAUUGUCCCUGUGAUGCAUGACUCCAGCGGGUGGGCACUAUUUACAUUGUAAUGUAUGUAAAUGGCAUUUCCUGAAGCAGGAUUAAGAAGCUACAGAAUGUAUCUUACAGGAGGAAGAUCUUUUUUCAGUUGACUCCAGUGCCUAGCAAAUGUUUGAUACACAAAAGAUGUUUAAUAAGAAUUUGGAUUGGUUCCUGGAAGUGGAACUACUAUAUCAAAGAUUUGGACAUUUUUAAGACCCCAGAAAGGUAAUAUAGUAAUAAAUGCGACUGUAAAUUUUAACACAUUCUUAGCUACACUCGUUAUUAACACUUGCAUUUUCAAUCUUUGUCAGUCUGAUAAUAGGGAGACUCAUUGUGUAAUUUGAUAAAAUUGCAUUUUUGCUCAUAUACUCAUAUUAAUAACUUAACUACCUCAAGGACUUAAUAUUCUUUGUCUUUUCCAUGAUGCUUACUCAGCUGGUGAAGAAAUGUAUUUUUUAUUGACUUAGGCAGUAUUUCUUUUAAAAUAAAUUAUAUUUUGAACACAUAGAAAGGUGAAGAAAAAUAGCAUAAGGAAGGAUCCAGAUUUAUUUUACUUAGUAAAAAAAGGUAAGAUUGUAUUUAAUUAUUAAUGUAGUGGUAAAUAGAACAUUAUUACUAGAAGCUAGCAAUAUCAUAUUGUAUUUAUUGAAUUUAUUUCUUUAUCGAAAUCAUACUGAAUUUAUUGCUUAAUGUGCCAUUUUCACUACAGCACUUUCCAAAAUACUUACUAAAUGCUUAGCUUAUAAGAUUAAGAAAAACAUUCACUAGAUAACUACUUUGAAAUAAUUGCCCCAACCCUGCUUUCAUUCACGAUGCCUAGAAACAGACUUGCCUACUUUAAUUUUCUUUCAUGUUGUUAUUACUAUGAAGUCAUUUUAUAGAUAGGGUAAUAAGCAUUCUGGCAUAAAGAAAAAUAGCAUCUGUACAACGAUAUGGCACGGUUUGGUUGGGGCUGUUCCUCCUUCAGAACUUCAUUACGUAAUUUGAAAGUGUUUACUUAAGCUCCUUUGGGCUGCCUCCAUGGUAGCUAUGAAGUCACAGAAUUAGGACCAGUUUGGGGCCUGAUAACAAUGUCUGUUAGUUUAAUGUGAACACUGUGUCAAUUUUUUUUUUUUUUAUCAUUGCUGUAUAAGAAACUUUAAAAACAAAGAUAUACUUAAUUCAUUUCAUUUUUUAAAACAAGUAUGCUUCUUCAAAAAUCACUAAUACACAAAACAAGGGAUUCGUAAAUGUAUGUUUGCUCAUUGUCUAGAUGUAUUUAUUUUAAAAUCUGUAUUCCAUACCAUGAAUUCACAGUAUGAUUUUGACUCAGUAUAAUUAUAAAUAAUUAUGCAAAAUUACCAAAAUGUGUAGAGGUAUUAGACAGCCUUUAGGAGAGUAUGAAUUAUUAAGAUUCUAUUUCUACACCAAGACCACUAUUUCUAUCUCUAAGUCAUAAAAGAAAUCUAAGAGAACACCAUAGAUGUAUAAAUUAUAAUAAUAUCAGCUUUAGGAGAAUUUAAAAAGAUACCAGGUUAUAAGAAAAAAUUAUUUUCUCUUGAUUACUCAAAGAAAGGUAAUAUUUUCAGUUCCUGAGAGGGAGAACUCUUGCUCCUUGGCCAACCAAAUAACUAGGUGUAUUGGUUUUAAAGAAAAAUAUUGCAAUAUGCAUUGUAAACAUGGAAGAAGAAUCAUUUAAAUUUUGUAUUGUAAUAAUCAAAUGGUAUAUCACCUUCAAGGCAACGUGAAAAUUUUUUAUAAAAUACCUAAAAUCUCAACCAUCCCUUUAGAAUUACUGAGUUUUAUGAAUAAACAAGCCUAAGUCAAGAUCCUGUUAUCUAAAAGCAUAUAGACCUCUUAAAGAAAUGUCAUUUUGUUUUAAUUAUGUAACAUGAAUUUAUUAUAAAAUUACUUGUUGGAAUAAUCUCCGUAGCAUUUUGCUUUUUAACUAACUUUGAGAAGUUAAACUGAUGGCCUUGCCAAUGAUCUAGUGAGGUACAAAGUCAGGGAUAAUUCAGGGAAGAAACAGAAAAAACCUUUAGGACCUGAUCAUCACUCUGGAGGUAUAGCCACUCUAGGGGUCCUACGUGGAUUGGGAGAGAGGGGUUUCUGUGUAUAGGCGGCCUGAUCUGGAGGGGGAGAAUGGUCAAGGGGGAGAAGAGGGAAAGAUUAUGAGACAAACUGCCUACUAAGAUUGGUUUAGGUUUAGCUUUGCUGUAACAAUGAAAUGUGGUGGGGUUUUUUUGUUUAUUUAUUUGGAGAGAGAGAGAGCGAGCGCAUGUGCAUAUGGUAUGAUCAGGGAAGGGGCAGAGAGAGAGAGAGAAGUAGAGAGAGAAUCCCAGGCAGGUUCUGCAUUCUGAGCCUGGAGCCCAACAUGGGGCUCCAUCUCAUGAAGCAUGAGAUCAUGAUCUGAGUUGAAAUCAAGUCAGACACUUAACCCACUGAGCCACGCAGGUGCCCCUGAAAUGUUUAGGUUUUUAUAUGUCAUUCUCAUAUGAAAAGAGGGUGAUUGGUUUCUUAUGUUUAAAUAUUUUUAAUAUACGAUACAUUGUUUAUAAAUCUGUUUAUCGGAAGUUAAUAUGUGUGGUGAUUUUAAACUAAAUAUUGCCAAUUCUUUGACACGCCUUCAUUAAAGGAUCAGAGUCUAAUUCCCCUGUCUAGAAUAUGGAUGGCCUUAGUGAUUUUUUUCUAACAAACAUGAUGUGAUAGAUAUAAUGCUGCAUGACUAGUUAGGUCAUACAGCUUCAUCUGGCUCUCUGUCUUAGGACACUUGGAACCCAGGAACCCUGUUGUGAGAAAGCCAAAAACAGAAGGACAGGCCAUUGUGUAGGUGUUCUGACCUGGUAAUCCCAGCUAAGGUCCCAGUCAUCAGUGAGUACUAAUCACUAGACAUGCAAAUGAACAAAUCUUCAGAUGAUACAAACCUCUAGCCUAUGAGCUGCUCAGGAUGAGGCCAGGUGCAUUAGAAACAAUCUAUCCCUGCAGAGCACUACCCAGAUCACAUGUUCAUGAGAAUGCUGUUUUAAACCACUAAGUUUUGGGGUGGUUUGUUAAGCAUUUGAAUCCCUGUUCUAGGGACUAGCUCUAGCUCAGGUUAGCUGUAACAAGUAGGAAGGAAAUGGAGGAAGCAAAAGAAAAUGUCCUCCCCCCCUCCCCCCACUUUUCCUCAUUUCCUUAGAUUGAAAAUCUUAGCACCUCCUAGUACUAAUUGUUGGCAAUUAAGUAUAGUUUUGAAGUGCCAUUAGGAACAAAAAACACGAUAAUGGGGACCUGGUCUAUCUAUCUAAACUCUUCUUGAAGGCUUAGUGUCUGAGCAGGAAAAAGAGAAAGCUUGAGUCUAUUUCUCCUUUUCUUCUCCCCUAAGUAUACCUAGUUUCAAAAAGGAGGGGAAAGCAAGAUUUAAUCAUUUCUUGCCCUCAUCUCUCUUCUGAAUUCAAAUCUUUUGAAGGAGAUUUUUUUUUUCCCCACUAAAUGACUACACAGACACUUCAAUCUUAUGAAGGGACCAAACCUACAACAUAUUUGCAUUCCUUAUCAAGGAAGCAGGAUUUACUGACCAAAGUGAUACACUAAGGACGCCACUCUGUCUUUAGUCACUCAUCACUGUCCUUGAAAGGUUCCUCAGGCUCCUCUCCUUCUAAAUGUGGACACUCCCUAGGGUUCUCUUUUCAGACCUCUUCUCACUUGACACACUUUCUGGUCCGUCUUACACAUGCCCAUAACUUUAGUUACCACCUACAUUUUAAUGACUCUAGAGAGCCAGACUUUACUGCCAACCCUGAUGGGAUAGUUCCCUGAUAGCUGCAAUUCUACACGGACAAAACAGGGUUCCUCCUCCUGAACCUGAGGUCCACUCCUCCUCCUAGUCUACACACUAGAGCAGAAACCUGGGGAUCCCCUGUCUUUGCCCCACACAACCAGUUUUCCAUUCCACCAAUUCAUUACUUUUCUCGAAUCCCUCUUCUCUCUAGCCCCACUGUCAUUAGGUACACAGCAGUGGUCCCAAUCCAUUCUUACUUCCAUCACAGGCUGCUUUACAUUCCAUCCUCAAGUUCCAGCACCCCAACCAACGUAAUCUUUUCACACCUGACCACGCACUUCCAUUAAAAUAUCCUAUCUUUGUUCUCCCUUUCCUAUAGGUAUUUAUCUUGAGGCCCAAUAGUCCUUUAGUCACAAACCCCUCGACAAUGUAUACAAAAUUGUAGUAUAGGUCUAUAGGUACGUUUUUAUGGAGAGAGGCCAUAUUCCUUUCCACAGGUUCUCAAAAGGAUAUGUGUCUGCAAAAAGGUUAAAAACUUGAAGGUCUCAGGCUAAAGUCUGAACUCCUGGUCUUCCUUCAGCUUCCUUUCUCAUCCCGUCUUCCCUCCCCUCUUGUCCCAUGCUUCUCCCUCUGUAGUUCCAGGCCUUUGUACAUGCUGCUUUACUUGCUCACCUUGGGAAGCCCUUUCCUUUCGUAGCUGGCCUAACUUUUGCCAUCCACGAAACCACCUUCUUUCUUUUGAGAAACAUCUCAGGUCACACUACCUACAGAAAACUGUGCAGGGAGGGCUAGCCCAGCUGGGAGUCAACUGUUGGCUCCCUGAAACCAGCCUAGCAAUUGCUCUUUUUUAGCAUUUACCCCCUGGAUUUCCAAACCGGAAAGAUGGUUGGUGGGAGUGGGGGGGUGGGGUGGUGGUGAGGGGAGAGGGAGAAAAAAAAAUAAAACCUAUAAAGCCUGUAAAACAAGCAAUGACUGAUAAUUGUUUCUGCAGCACUUAUACACUGUAGAAGAAUGCCAGGCUGUAAUAUACGUUUUUAUAGUACUUUCUGGGGAGGAAGAAAUUGGGUGGCAAAUAUGUAAUUUAUAUUUGCCAGCCGUUUUGGUGAUAAAGACCACACACACUUUCCUGUUCCAGAAUAUUGUACAGGAAUUUUCAACAUCAUCCAGUUUUCCUUUAUUUUAUACCUACACACCUCAUGGUGUUACUUAUUUAAUAAAUCCUUUAACAAUGCA